AUAAAAAGGAAACGUCAAGAUGCGAUGAUGUGUCAUAUUUCCAUAUGCUUGGUUGACGAAAUAAGCAUUAAAGGAAUGUUAUUAGAUCACGAAUUGGAAUAUUUGGUGAUGCUAAAAUAUAGGAAAUACUAUAUUAGAUAAUAGGAAAAUAUUAUUUAAUAUAUAUGGUGGCUUUACCUAAGAUUAGGGUUAGAGUUUUCAAGUUGUAAUUUUCAGAGAGAAACACAAAGGGUUUUGGGGUUUCAUAGCUGAGUGAAUUGGUAGACUUGAUCAACAGGUGUUGAGUCAAGCAAGUUGGGUUUGUUAGAAAUCGAUCCGUGUCGAGUUGUGUAAUUCGGAUCAAACAAAUCUGUAAGAGAUUGUGUAAAGAAUUUCUAAUAAAAGAUAUACGAGUUCUUGGAAUUACUUUGUGCCUUGUGUUUUCACUGUAUCUCGAUUCCACAAUCCUUCUAUUCCAACAAACAAUAUAUUUCCGUUUUUCUCUAUCCCUUUCAACUAAAUAAUUUUUGGCAUAAUUAAAAGAUUUUUGUGAUAUGGAACAAGAGAUCAUCGCAGAUUUGCGGAUUUUAAGUUAAGCGUUUUGUACGAGGUGAUUACGAAGGCGAUUUGUCUUAGGGUUCUGAGAAGUGGACGAAGGUUUUGAGACUUGAUUUUCAUCUUGCUAGGAAACCCUUUAGUGGCUUCCCUAAUGGUGGUUCUGAAUUCAAGAUGGAGACGUUGAUCCCUGCACUAACAAGUUCCAAGUUUGCAAAAAAAAAAAAAAUCAAAAGAGAGGGAAGAUUGAGCAGUCAUUGAUUAACAUAAACAUAUAUGUCUUUUUAUUUAUCCGAGAACUCCUUUGUGGUUUUGUUGGCAUUUGGUCGGUGUAGGUGAUUUGUAGGGUCUGGGUUUGAAGAAUCUUUGGAAUACAUAUUUUCUGAAUUCUGUAUCGCAAUUUUUGACAUACACUGAGUGCUUAGAUGCUUACUUUCUAGAUGUUGGCAAUGUGAAAUCCUGUAUGUUGCAUUUAGAAGCUGGUUUGAUUAAUUGCUUGGCUUGGUGGGUCUUUUAUUCAGUGUCUAAUUGGAUGUUCUCAUGAAAACGUUUGUGUAGUCCAUGUGACUGGGUUUUGUGCUUUAUGUGCAAUGCAGAGGCAUGUUAGGACGACCCUUCAAGCUCCUGGCAGAAUAGCAGCACCAAGUCUCAAACUUUGGAGGAUCUCUGCCCUUGCAGGAUCUUCUUUGAGGAAUGAGAGGAGCCACAUCUCAUGUCAUUGGCAAAAAAGCCGAAAUGAUGAAAGCAAUGAUUUUCACAAAAGUUCCGGUGGAUGUCGAUCCUAUGCUUUAAUUGGAGGAUAGCAAUCAAUAAACACCUCAGCUUUUGUCUAUCAUUUUCAUAAGAUUUUUUUGUUUCACUCAUAUAUUCGUGUACCUCUCAACUUUCCCCUGAUGUUAAAGAACAGGAAACUUCAGCA
Brassica napus (rape) is the source of this 1453-nucleotide long non-coding RNA. RefSeq lists it as uncharacterized. Lineage: Eukaryota; Viridiplantae; Streptophyta; Magnoliopsida; Brassicales; Brassicaceae. The record is from RefSeq and is a predicted model, not a curated record. The transcript is spliced from 3 exons.